GACGAACGCUGGCGGCGUGCCUAACACAUGCAAGUCGAACGGAACUUCUUUAAAGGAUUUCUUCGGAAUGAAUUUGAUUAAGUUUAGUGGCGGACGGGUGAGUAACGCGUGAGUAACCUGCCUCUAAGAGGGGAAUAACAUUCUGAAAAGAAUGCUAAUACCGCAUAAUAUAUAUUUAUCGCAUGGUAGAUAUAUCAAAGAUUUAUCGCUUAGAGAUGGACUCGCGUCCGAUUAGUUAGUUGGUGAGGUAACGGCUCACCAAGACCGCGAUCGGUAGCCGGACUGAGAGGUUGAACGGCCACAUUGGGACUGAGACACGGCCCAGACUCCUACGGGAGGCAGCAGUGGGGGAUAUUGCGCAAUGGGGGAAACCCUGACGCAGCAACGCCGCGUGAAGGAUGAAGGUCUUCGGAUUGUAAACUCCUGUUGUUGGGGAAGA
Molecule: ribosomal RNA, 439 nt
Filed under: uncultured bacterium
Lineage: Bacteria
Description: bacterial SSU rRNA
Rfam family: Bacterial small subunit ribosomal RNA
Source: RNAcentral